UACGGGGGGGGCAAGCGUUGUUCGGAAUUACUGGGCGUAAAGGGCGCGUAGGCGGUCCGUUAAGUUAGAUGUGAAAACUCUGGGCUCAACCCAGAGCCUGCAUCUAAUACUGACGGGCUAGAGUUCUGGAGGGGGUAGCGGAAUUCCUGGUGUAGCGGUGAAAUGCGUAGAUAUCGGGAGGAACACCUGUGGCGAAAGCGGCGCACUGGACCACAUCUGACGCUGAGGCGCGAAAGCUAGGGGAGCAAACAGG
RNAcentral lists this ribosomal RNA (253 nucleotides) under uncultured bacterium. RNAcentral's name for it is "partial 16S ribosomal RNA". It matches the Rfam family "Bacterial small subunit ribosomal RNA", at positions 524 to 776 of the family's 1533-position model. The record is from RNAcentral.